This 73-nucleotide transfer RNA is filed under the name Felis catus (domestic cat). It matches the Rfam family "tRNA". Rfam says of the family: Transfer RNA (tRNA) molecules are approximately 80 nucleotides in length. Lineage: Eukaryota; Metazoa; Chordata; Mammalia; Carnivora; Felidae. The record is from Rfam by way of RNAcentral.
GCCUGGCUGGCUCAGUCAGUAGAACAUGUGACUCUUGAUCUCAGGGUCAUGUGUUCAAGCCCCAAGCUGGGCA